UCACUGACUUCAAGAAUGAAGCCGUGGACCCUCGCGGUGAGUGUCACAGCUCUUCAAGGCGGCGUGUCCGGAGUUCUUUCCUUCUGAUGCUCGGAUGUGUUCAGAGUUUCUUCCUUCUGGAUCCUGUGCACUUUAUUCUUCCCUACCAGCCUCAGAAGCCACGUGCUGAAGACAGUGAAGUUCUGUCUGGGAAGAAGCAUCGAUCCCUAAAUGACUGCAUGGAGCAGAGCAGAGAUGUCUGCUCACUAAGUUGGUUCGAAGCUGAGGAGGAAAAAAAUUAGGUGCUAGGAUGCUGGAGAGAUCCUCAGAAACCCCUCUACAUGAAUCAUUUAAGUAGAUGAAGAGCUAGAUUGCAAUAAUCAUUGGGAGGAGAAGAAGAAUAAAACAUGAGAUUCCAUUCACAUCCCAGAAUUAAAGGUACUGUCGUGAUGCCCAUUUUACAGAUGAAGAAACUGAGGUUUCCAGAGGUCCAGUCCCUGCCUGAGCUGAUGCAGUUACGAAGGCUGAAGCCCGGACUUGAUUUGAGUUCGGCCUGCGGAGCCCCGGCUGAGCUACCUGCCUUCUAGCCCCACGGUGGAAAGGGAGAAUCCAGACAUCCUUGAGACCUACCCAAGGAGUUUCCCUGUUACUGCCCUGCCAUCCUUCUGAUGCCACCCUGUUCCGUAUCUGGCUGGAGCCAGCGUGGUUGUGUCUGGGUUUGGCUCCAUAGUAGAUGUUCUCGGUGGCCUUACUAUUCCUGUGCACGCCGGCCACUUUUGCCUGAAGCUCUCUGUGGCUGCCAAUGCCCACUUUGUUGAAAGUACUUGGAAAUUAAGACCCUCUAGGGAGUAUCUCUGAGUUGUGCCUGGUGAGAUUUCAUGAAGGAAUGGCCCAGCUCCUGCAGACCUAGGCGGGAUGUCUGAGGUGCACCUUCUACACGCUCUUUCAGUUGGAUUAAGUCCUAGGAUGCCCACAGGGGUCACUGAG
Homo sapiens (human) is the source of this 966-nucleotide long non-coding RNA. NCBI's taxonomy places the organism in Eukaryota, Metazoa, Chordata, Mammalia, Primates, Hominidae. The record is from Ensembl.